Molecule: ribosomal RNA, 227 nt
Filed under: Candidatus Omnitrophota bacterium
Lineage: Bacteria; Pseudomonadati; Candidatus Omnitrophota
Description: partial 16S ribosomal RNA
Rfam family: Bacterial small subunit ribosomal RNA
Source: RNAcentral
GAUCGAGGUCUGAAACCCGACCUCGUGAAGCUGGAAUCGCUAGUAACCGUGGAUCAGCCACGCCACGGUGAAUAUGUUCCUAGGUCUUGUACUCACCGCCCGUCACUUCAAGCGAGCUGGGAAUAGCCGAAAGUCUCACACAAGUGGGGUUUAAGCUAGGCUCAGUAAGAGGGAAGAAGUCGUAACAAGGCACGGGUAGCGGAAGCUGCUCGUGGAUCAAUUAUUUU